AGAGUUUGAUCCUGGCUCAGAACGAACGCUGGCGGCAGGCCUAACACAUGCAAGUCGAACGGAUGUAGCAAUACAUUAGUGGCGCACGGGUGAGUAACGCGUGGGAACAUGCCCUUUAGUACGGAAUAACGUCGGGAAACUGACGCUAAUACCGUAUACGCCCUUCGGGGGAAAGAUUUUUCGCUAAAGGAUUGGCCCGCGUAAGAUUAGGUAGUUGGUGGGGUAAUGGCCUACCAAGCCUACGAUCUUUAGCUGGUCUGAGAGGACGACCAGCCACACUGGAACUGAGACACGGUCCAGACUCCUACGGGAGGCAGCAGUGGGGAAUAUUGGACAAUGGGCGAAAGCCUGAUCCAGCCAUGCCGCGUGAAUGAUGAAGGCCUUAGGGUUGUAAAGUUCUUUUAGCAGGGAAGAUACUGACGGUACCUGCAGAAAAAGCCCCGGCUAACUUCGUGCCAGCAGCCGCGGUAAUACGAAGGGGGCUAGCGUUGUUCGGAAUCACUGGGCGUAAAGCGCGCGUAGGCGGCUUGACAAGUCAGGGGUGAAAUCCCAGAGCUUAACUCUGGAACUGCCUUUGAUACUGUCUGGCUAGAAGGCGAUAGGGGAUAGCGGAAUUCCUGGUGUAGAGGUGAAAUUCGUAGAUACCAGGAGGAACACUGGUGGCGAAGGCGGCUAUCUGGAUCGCACUUGACGCUCUGGCGCGAAAGCGUGGGGAUCAAACAGGAUUAGAUACCCUGGUAGUCCACGCUGUAAACGAUGGAUGCUAGCUGUUGGACCUUUCAGGUUCAGUGGCGUCGCUAACGCAUUAAGCAUCCCGCCUGGGGAGUACGGUCGCAAGAUUAAAACUCAAAGGAAUUGACGGGGACCCGCACAGGCGGUGGAGCAUGUGGUUUAAUUCGAGGCAACGCGAAGGACCUUACCAGGCCUUGACUUGCCCUCUUUGGGACUAAGAGAUUAGUCCCUUCACCUCGGGUGGGAGGAGCACAGGUGCUGCAUGGCUGUCGUCAGCUCGUGUCGUGAGAUGUUGGGUUAAGUCCCGCAACGAGCGCAACCCUCGUCCUUAGUUGCCAUCAGGUAAUGCUGGGAACUCUAAGGAAACUGCCUGCGUUAAGCAGGAGGAAGGUGGAGAUGACGUCAAGUCUUCAUGGCCCUUACGGCCUGGGCUACACACGUGCUACAAUGGCGGUGACAAUGGGUUGCAACCCUGCGAGGGGUAGCUAAUCUCAAAAAACCGUCUCAGUUCGGAUUGCACUCUGCAACUCGAGUGCAUGAAGCUGGAAUCGCUAGUAAUCGUAGAUCAGCAUGCUACGGUGAAUACGUUCCCGGGUCUUGUACACACCGCCCGUCACACCAUGGGAGUCGGUUCUGCCUUAAGUCGCCGUGCCAACCGCAAGGAGGCAAGCGCCCACGGCAGGGUUGAUGACUGGGGUGAAGUCGUAACAAGGUA
Molecule: ribosomal RNA, 1447 nt
Filed under: metagenome
Description: bacterial SSU rRNA
Rfam family: Bacterial small subunit ribosomal RNA
Source: RNAcentral